GGUCUUAUGGCGCAAUUGGUUAGCGCGUCCGGCUGUUAAACACUCUAACAUCCUCCGAGGGCAUUUGGAAUUGAGUUUAACAAUUACCGGGAGGUUGAAAGUUCGAGUCUUUCUAGGACCG
Molecule: non-coding RNA, 121 nt
Organism: Terfezia claveryi
Lineage: Eukaryota; Fungi; Ascomycota; Pezizomycetes; Pezizales; Pezizaceae
Source: the annotation of a GenBank genome assembly